This 410-nucleotide ribosomal RNA is filed under the name uncultured bacterium. Its description in RNAcentral is "bacterial SSU rRNA". It matches the Rfam family "Bacterial small subunit ribosomal RNA", at positions 370 to 772 of the family's 1533-position model. The record is from RNAcentral.
AAUGGGCGCAAGCCUGAUCCAGCCAUGCCGCGUGAGUGAAGAAGGCCUUCGGGUUGUAAAGCUCUUUCAGACGGAAAGAAAUCGCGCGCUCUAACAUAGCGCGUGGAUGACGGUACCGUAAGAAGAAGCACCGGCUAACUACGUGCCAGCAGCCGCGGUAAUACGUAGGGUGCGAGCGUUAAUCGGAAUUACUGGGCGUAAAGCGUGCGCAGGCGGUGAUGUAAGACAGAUGUGAAAUCCCCGGGCUCAACCUGGGAACUGCGUUUGUGACUGCAUCACUCGAGUACGGCAGAGGGAGGUGGAAUUCCACGUGUAGCAGUGAAAUGCGUAGAGAUGUGGAGGAACACCGAUGGCGAAGGCAGCCUCCUGGGCCAGUACUGACGCUCAUGCACGAAAGCGUGGGGAGCAAA